RNAcentral lists this ribosomal RNA (468 nucleotides) under uncultured bacterium. RNAcentral's name for it is "partial 16S ribosomal RNA". It matches the Rfam family "Bacterial small subunit ribosomal RNA", at positions 28 to 507 of the family's 1533-position model. The record is from RNAcentral.
GACGAACGCUGGCGGCGUGCUUAACACAUGCAAGUCGAACGGAAAGGCCCUGCUUUUGUGGGGUGCUCGAGUGGCGAACGGGUGAGUAACACGUGAGUAACCUGCCCUUGACUUUGGGAUAACUUCAGGAAACUGGGGCUAAUACCGGAUAGGAGCUCCUGCUGCAUGGUGGGGGUUGGAAAGUUUCGGCGGUUGGGGAUGGACUCGCGGCUUAUCAGCUUGUUGGUGGGGUAGUGGCUUACCAAGGCUUUGACGGGUAGGCGGCCUGAGAGGGUGAACGGCGACAUUGGGACUGAGAUACGGCCCAGGCUCCUACGGGAGGCAGCAGUGGGGAAUAUUGCACAAUGGGCGGAAGCCUGAUGCAGCAACGCCGCGUGCGGGAUGACGGCCUUCGGGUUGUAAACCGCUUUCGCCUGUGACGAAGCGUGAGUGACGGUAAUGGGUAAAGAAGCACCGGCUAACUACGUG